CAGCCGCCACGGUAAUACAGAGGGUGCGAGCGUUAAUCGGAUUUACUGGGCGUAAAGCGUGCGUAGGCGGCUUCUUAAGUCGGAUGUGAAAUCCCUGAGCUUAACUUAGGAAUUGCAUUCGAUACUGGGAAGCUAGAGUAUGGGAGAGGAUGGUAGAAUUCCAGGUGUAGCGGUGAAAUGCGUAGAUAUCCGGAGGAACACCGAUGGCGAAGGCAACUGCCUGGGCCUGAUCUGACACUGAGGCACGAAAGCGUGGGUAGCAAACAGGAUUAGAUACCCCGUAGUCCCUGUCUCUUAUACA
Molecule: ribosomal RNA, 301 nt
Filed under: uncultured bacterium
Lineage: Bacteria
Description: partial 16S ribosomal RNA
Rfam family: Bacterial small subunit ribosomal RNA
Source: RNAcentral